This 317-nucleotide ribosomal RNA is filed under the name Forficula sp. JMA-2000. RNAcentral describes it as "partial 12S ribosomal RNA". The record is from RNAcentral. Lineage: Eukaryota; Metazoa; Arthropoda; Insecta; Dermaptera; Forficulidae.
ACAUAUUUUAGAGCUUAAAUCAAAUUAUUAAUCUAUAUAAUUUUACUAUCAAAUCCAUUUUUAAUAAAUAUUUCAAAUUUAUAUCCACAUAAAUAAAUUUAUUGUAACCCAUUUAAUACUUAAAUAUAAGCUACACCUUGAUCUGAUAUACUUUUUAUUUUAAAAUUAUGAAAAUUAAUAUUCUUAUAAAAUAUUCUAAUAACAACGGUAUAUAAACUGAUAACAAAUUUAAGUAAGGUCCAUCGUGGAUUAUCGAUUACAAAACAAGUUCCUCUGAAUAGACUAAAAUACCGCCAAAUUUUUUAAGUUUCAAGAAC